GAAGAUUGUCAACCAUUGUUACUGUGGAAACCUUUGAAAAAAUGCUCCAUGAUAAAUUGGAUCUAGUGGCACAAAGGAAUCCCGAGCCUUCACGUGAUGUCUGCAGUUUGGACAGGAAAGGAAGUGAGAUAUAACACCUGCAAGGUGCUGUGACGCUCAGCAGUGGUUGUCAGUGCUGUUAGAAAUGUGCCAUGAAGCUCAAGCAAAGGGCAAGGAGUGAACAGCAAACUUAUUCUGAUGGAUGGAGGAAAUUUGAAUCUGAAUUUCACAUGAAUGCUCCUUGCGUCCCUGCUUCCUCCUGGACUCAUGCAGAGAAGCC
RNAcentral lists this long non-coding RNA (319 nucleotides) under Gallus gallus (chicken). Lineage: Eukaryota; Metazoa; Chordata; Aves; Galliformes; Phasianidae. The record is from RNAcentral.